UGCCUUGGCAGCAGUUUGUCAUCCAGGAUUUGCGGAAUCACCUUGUCUUUAAAUUAGUUCAAGCAAUAUUUCCUUCGCCGGACCCCCAGGCCAUGAAGGACAAGCGAAUGGGGAACCUAGUGGCCUAUGCCCGC
This is a long non-coding RNA of Patiria miniata (bat star), 134 nucleotides long. RefSeq lists it as uncharacterized. The record is from RefSeq and is a predicted model, not a curated record. The transcript has 2 exons. Lineage: Eukaryota; Metazoa; Echinodermata; Asteroidea; Valvatida; Asterinidae.